AAAAUGUCACGACGAUUUCCAUGACCAAGGCUUGGAUGUCACUUCCUGAGGGGGAUGUCGUUCCAACGAGCUUUAUAGGCUGCAAGAGAACAUGAAGUGUGAAUCCUGCACAAGUUGCCCCCGUCAGCUGUGCUGCUGCAUAUAAUGGUGACUUCCCAUAACAUUAUUGCAAGAAUGCCCACCACAAGCUCAAACAUCUUCCAUGUGCUGUCUGCCUACAUAUCCUUUUCCAUGUUUUCCCUUCCAUCACCAUCAGUUCUUGUCCAGGUAUAUAUUUUGAUUUAUAUAUCCAACCACCUUUUUAAAGUUCAAUAAUCAUU
Long non-coding RNA from Andrographis paniculata, 320 nucleotides. RefSeq lists it as uncharacterized. The record is from RefSeq and is a predicted model, not a curated record. The transcript is spliced from 2 exons. Lineage: Eukaryota; Viridiplantae; Streptophyta; Magnoliopsida; Lamiales; Acanthaceae.